This 434-nucleotide ribosomal RNA is filed under the name uncultured bacterium. RNAcentral's name for it is "partial 16S ribosomal RNA". It matches the Rfam family "Bacterial small subunit ribosomal RNA", at positions 29 to 507 of the family's 1533-position model. The record is from RNAcentral.
AGCGAACGCUGGCGGCAGGCCUAACACAUGCAAGUCGAACGAACCUAUCGUGGGUAGUGGCUCUUGGGUGUGUCACACGUCGGAACGGGCCUUUAUGCUCGGGAUACUACAUGUACGCUGGGGCUAAUAUCGAAUGAGUUCUUCUGGUGCCAGAUUAAUCGCCGUUAGAGCGGCCCGCGUCCGAUUAGCUAGUUGGUUGUGGUAAUGGCGCACCAAGGCGACGAACAGUACCUGGUCAGAGAGGAUGAGCAGCGACAUCGGUAGGGAGACACGGUCGAGACUCCUACGGGAGGGAGGAGUGGGGGAUCUUGCGAAAUGGGCGAAAGGAUGACGGAGCCAUGCCGCGUGAACGAUGAUGGUGUUAGGAAAGUAAAAUUCUUUCACCGGGGACGAUAAUGACGGUACCCAGAGAAGAAGCCCCGGCUAACUUCGUG